UGCGGGCGGCGGCGCGGGUGUCCCCGCGGCGGGAGCGCGGCGGCGCGGGGCUGUAUGGACGUGAUGUCCCCGCAACAGGAGCACCUCGGCCCGGGCCGCUCGUCCUCGGUGAGCGGCGAGAGCAGGGGCUUCGCCGCCGCCGACAGCAAGAAGAAGAUGAAGAGUUUGGCCCAAAGACGCCAGUCUGCGCCAUCUUUGAUCUUUGUCAAAGCACUCAGCAGAUCUAGAUCGGCCUCAAGGUUCUUUUUCAUCACAAAAUUGUGAUGAAUAGCCAUGGAAAGACUCUU
This 287-nucleotide long non-coding RNA is filed under the name Chloebia gouldiae (Gouldian finch). RNAcentral describes it as "Erythrura gouldiae (Gouldian finch) lncRNA (ENSEGOG00005001620.1)". Lineage: Eukaryota; Metazoa; Chordata; Aves; Passeriformes; Passeridae. The record is from RNAcentral.